Molecule: long non-coding RNA, 5212 nt
Filed under: Trifolium pratense (red clover)
Lineage: Eukaryota; Viridiplantae; Streptophyta; Magnoliopsida; Fabales; Fabaceae
Description: long non-coding RNA (TPRA_LNC002265)
Source: RNAcentral
CAAAUCUCAAGCCUUUGCUUCCAAGUCAAAAAACUAUGCAAAUUUGUACUAUACAAGCUGUCUCUAAGUGUCCCUUUUUCCAUGUACUCAUAAACAAGUAUCAUCUCAUACCUUUCAUCACAAUAACCGAUUAAGGAAACAAGGUGUCUGUGACGAAUCUUGGACAAAACCAUUAUCUCAGCUUCAAACUCAGGAAAUCCUUGACCUGACUCUUGCUCACUUCUUUUCACUGCAACACUCAUUCCAUUCUUGAGAACUCCCUUGUAAACAUUUCCAAAACCACCUUUUCCAAUUACCCUCUUCGCAUUGAAAUUCUCCGUUGCCAAUUGUAGAUCACGCAAGGAGAUUUUCAAUCCAAGGUUAAUAUUAUCAGCUAAUCUGCCGUGAGAACUCCCUCCUGCAGAAGCUCGAGUCGGCAACCAUUUGUAAUUCUCAACAGGCUUUUGUUUCCUGUAUUUACAGAUCCAAAUAAACAAAACCACCACUACAGAAACCAAAACGAAACCUCCAACGACCGAACCCACCACCACAGGAAGACUAAUCUUCUUCGAAUUGGAAUCCGAAUCAUAUAAGGGAAUUGAACCAGACAAUUCUAUCACUUUCAUCAGUUCUAGCCCGUUUAGAAAAGCGUUCGGUUUAGCAACCGUCAUAUUAGGUACCACGCUAACUUUCAAUAGUCCAGAACCAUCUGAACGAACCACAAAAUCAUAAUAAUAAGCAGAAGACACAUCUGCACCAUCAUUUACAGUAAUAACAGGCUGGUCAUAAAUGUUGAGAAUGAAAAGUGUAAGUAGACUCUGUUGGUUAAAAAUGUCACAAAAGUGAAGCCUGAGGAAAUGAUCUGUAUUCUUCUCAACAGGAACACUCCAACUUAUGUUUAAACCGAUAGAACCAUUUUUACUCUCUUUGGCAGUUUGAUAAACAACAUCGGGAGCAGUAUAUUUAUUUGAAUAUGGACCAUCAGAUUCAUCAUCUGCAUUGCGCUUAAUUGUAACUCCAACAUAGGUACUAUUAGCGUUUUGUGGAUCAGUUAUAUAACUGUCAUCUGGUAACCAUUCUCUCAUUAAGUUAUCGGAUAUUCUAUCGACAGCUUCACCACCAACGUUAAGACGGUGUAUGGUUUCCAAAGCUCUUGAGUGUAAGCCGCCAGUAUAAUUAGAUAAGCUUAGACCAGCAGAACCGGAGUAAUUGAAUCGCUGGAUUGAAUCCGGGAUUAAAUGAAUGGGGAGCAUAAAGAGCUCUAUGGCAUUAACAAAUGCAAAUGAUGAGUUUUGGGGUGUGAACAUUAUUUUGAAUCUAUUUCCGAUGAUUUUAACGAAAUAUUCUUUUAUUACAACAGUGUUGGUGGUGUUUUCAGCGUCAAAAUUUUGCAACAGAGAGAAACCAGAAACGGAAAUGUUGAAUUUUGCUUUGUAAAGGUUACUUGCUGAAGAGAAUGAAAAGAAAUGGAAACGUACCAUGUAGGUGUUGUUUGGGAUGGUAAUGAAUUUGUACGAAGAUUCGGAACGGAAAAUUCUUACUGUUUGGUAGAGAGGUGAAGGCACGAUUGAUUGAUUGGUUUCUGUGUAGCUAUUGCUGAAAUUUGGUUUAGGGUAAUUAUGGUUUGAUUCACCAAUAUAAACUUUGUUAUUACUUUGGUCAACCGUAACGUCGUUAUUUGAGCCGCAUUUGAUGAAGUAUAUGUCUUGAGGAUCAUAUGCAAGUGAGGGGACUUGUAGUGAUGAGAAUUGAAGAAGAAAAGCCGCAAGUAGAAAUAUAGUGUGUUGAAUUUUGUGGAGGUGAUGAGUUGCCAUGGUGAGAGUGAGAGAGGAAAUUGUGUUAGUUUGAUGAUUUUUUAAGCUAUGAUGAUAUUGAUGAUUGCAAUUCAUAUAAGUAGGGAGGGAUCGACUAAGAUAAGUGGAUGACUUGAGUUGUGGCUGUGUUUAAGUCGUUAGCUUUGAAUUUUCUUCUUCCUUGUUUGUUUCUCUUCUUACUUUUAAAUAUGUGGAAGUUGAUUUAUCAACUUUUAGUACUUGAACUGUUUUUUGGAUUUUCUCAUAAAAAAAAAAUUGUUUAAACUUUCAAUUAUUAUGGUAUGAUUUAAGAAAAAAAGAGAUUCAUAUAGUAGAGCUUAUCUGUACCUGUAAAGUAGGAUAUGUAACUUAUUUGUACCUAUAAGGGGUAUUAUUUAGGUAUUGAUUUUUUAGAAGUUCUAUAAGGGGUAUUAUUUAGGUGUUGAUUUUUUAGAAGAACAAAAGUAUGUUGGAAAAAUCAAAAUUUACAGAUUGUAUAGCAAUUUUUAAGCUUGGAAUAUAUUGAACACUAGCAAGUUCUAGUAUUGAUACUGUACAGAAUAUUGAGAAAGUGAAACAUGAGAGAAAACUUCAUUGAUAAAAAGUGAAUAUUCACAUAAUGAGUAAUUACAAAUUUACAAUGUGUUUAUGGUAUUUAUGCUACAAUUCAUUGUAACCAGCUUAAGCUAAUGCGAGCUAGAUCACAUGGAAUCAAAACUACCUUUCCCUAGAUUCAAGGAAACAGUUAUAACUGUAUUUCUAGGUAGGGGAACUAGAUUGCUUGUGCUCCAAGUAAAAGGGGUGUACGGUGUUCUUCUCGUGAUCAACAGAUCCAGCUUCUAUUGCAUUUGUGCUUGAUUCUUUGUCACUUAACACAAAAUGGGUGAUAGCUCUCAAGUCUCGAGUUUUUACUUAUUGGUUACAUUAUGUGUUUAUUUGACUUGAUUAGUUUAACUGUAAAUUAAAAAGUCAAGGAGUGUGAAAUUCAACUCGUAUAUACAAUGGUACACAAACAACCAAGUGAUUGAGCCUGGUUUGUACAAGAUUUGAUUCUCUUUACAUUUUUGUUCUCUAAUCCCAAAUUUUAGUAACCAUUGAGCUGGUAGAAGCUAUGUAAUUACUGCAUCUAAGUUUCUCUCUAAACUUAACCUGCGGAGUAAAUAGGAAAUGAUGAUAUUAUAUAAUAUAAAACAGAAUCACACUAAAGGUAGGAAUUAAUAACAUCACUAGCUUGCAUUCAUCAUUCUGAGAUUAUGGUUACUAUAAAGAAAUGUAUUCAGUAACUGCUAGGCCAACAAUGCCACUCUCAUUUUCUUUGUACAAAGUGAUUAAUUUAUUGGAGUCAAAAUCAAUCCUUUAAAACCCAGAAUCAAUAAUGUUAAAUCUCCAGAAAUACUAAAAUUCAUGAAUGACCAUUUUUUUUUUACACCAAAUUCAUGCAGCUUGGCUCUUCUAUCCGUUCAUUCAUUAGCACACCUCAUCCUCCUAGUCCUAACCAUAAUUCAUCAGUCCUAUAUACGUACACAGGCAAUUGCUUGUAGCUGUCCAUAAUAACAGCAGUGGCAAAAUUUUCCAGCAAGUUCACCUGCUAAUAGUUUAAACUCCUUAACUUGCUUACUGCCGCAUGAUUUAUGAAUAUCCCUUUAAUCUCAGUCAAUUCCUUCCAACCAUUUAUCCAAAACUGAUGCCACAGUCUCCUCCAGAUAAAUCCUCUCAGCUUUAAUUCGCCGCAUAUCUCACAUUCAACCAUGCUCACCAUGAGUCUUCAAUCCAUUUAUGCUUGUGUUAUGAUGACCAAUUAGUUGUGGAGUUUGGUCUUCUAGAUUAACAUGUACUUUGUCUGAGAGAACCAUUUUGAUAUCUUUAUGUCUCCUUCUGAUAAUGAGAUUUAGUAAUGGAUGGUGGCAUGUCCGUGUGACUAAGUGACCAUAACCUCUUUAUAUAUAACCUAGAUUUGUUUAUCAUUUAGUCUCUAUACAAUAAGGGUUUACUUCCUAUUAGAUACAAGCCCAAAUUAUCCCAAUCUUAUUAGAUCACCUUUAAUUGGAAAUAAGCAACAAUAUACAAUAUAAUUAUUCACAUAUAAACAUAAUUUGCAUCCCAUUGAUACCCAAAAAAUGGUGAAGAAAACUUAAUCAUAUACUAGUAUAGUGCAUUGCAUUGUUGGCCACAGUAUAGACUAUAUACAUUGGUGCAAGCAUUCAAAUAAGUUCUGUAUAUAAUGCAUCUAAUUACAAUUGUUUAUUGCAAGCAUCAGAAAUAGACAUAAUCAUCAUUAAUCAUACAAUUAAGAAUAGACCAACAACCAUAUCUAAGAAAAUAAGGACAAAAUAGAGAUGCGGACUGUCUAAACAAAACAACUCCUCCACUUGAGGCACUAGAAAGUUGAUCAUUGUAUCUUGAAGGACUUGAAAUGAAAUUCUAUCUAGCAUCAUCAAUUUUCAACUGAGAGAAAACUGAAUCUUCUGCACUAUUUGAUUCAUCAUUAACCAUCCCAAUAGACAUAUCAUCCAUUUCAGUCAGUGUAGACAGAGAAGGUAAACGGCGAACAUUAGGCAAUUGAAUUGAUACAGAAGCACUGCUAGAACUAUCCUCAUGUGGUUCUCUAUGUACUGCACCUCUCUGAAGCUGCAAAGCAUAUUCCAAGUCCCACAACACAUCGCCCAUUGAUGGCCGAUCAGAGCCAUCAUCUUGUAAGCAUUUAUCCACUGUCUCACUAAACUUUCUAAGUGAGUUUGGUUCAAUUUGUCCCUUGAUGGAAGGAUCAAUGAUGUCUUCAAGUAUCCCUUUGUCUUUGCAAAAUAUUCCCCACUCAGCCAAGUUCACCUGUUCCCUUGGAAGCGACGGGUCAAUGGCUGUUCUCGCACACAACACUUCGAGUAGAACCACACCAAAUGAAUAAACAUCAGAUUUUUCUGUAAGCUGUUGUGAUCUAAAGUACUCAGGAUCAAGAUAUCCAAAAGUUCCUUUAACACCUGUGCUGACAUAAGAAUGCUGAUCAAGAGGACCACUUCUUGAAAGACCAAAAUCAGCAACUUUAGCUACAAGAUUCUCAUCAAGCAAUAUGUUUGUAGAUUUCACGUCACGGUGAAUGAUUCCACCAGCUGCACCUUUGUGUAGGUAAUGAAGACCUCUCGCAGCCCCAAUACAAAUCUCAAGCCUUUGCUUCCAAGUCAAAAUAUUAGUCAAAUUUGUACUGUACAAGCUGUCUCUAAGUGUCCCUUUUUCCAUGUACUCAUAAACAAGUAUCAUCUCAUACCUUUCAUCACAAUAUCCAAUUAAGGAAACAAGGUGUCUGUGACGAAUCUUAGACAAAACCAUUAUCUCAGCUUGAAAUUCAGGUAGUCCUUGACCCGACCCUGGCUCACUUCUUUUCACUGCAACCGUCAUUCCAUUCUUGAGAACUCCCUUAUAAACAUUUCCAAAACCACCCUUUCCAA